GCCGAGUUCGCAUAGCCUGGUAUUGCGGUGGAUUCGAAAUCCACUGGGACCUUCCCGCGAGAGUUCGAAUCUCUCACUCGGCG
Molecule: transfer RNA, 83 nt
Filed under: Methanobacteriota archaeon
Lineage: Archaea; Methanobacteriati; Methanobacteriota
Also listed under: 1 other name
Description: Euryarchaeota archaeon tRNA-Ser
Rfam family: tRNA
About the family: Transfer RNA (tRNA) molecules are approximately 80 nucleotides in length. Their secondary structure includes four short double-helical elements and three loops (D, anti-codon, and T loops).
Source: RNAcentral